UACGAAGGGGGCUAGCGUUGUUCGGAAUCACUGGGCGUAAAGGGCGCGUAGGCGGCUUUAUAAGUCGGGGGUGAAAGCCUGUGGCUCAACCACAGAAUUGCCUUCGAUACUGUAGAGCUUGAGACCGGAAGAGGUAAGUGGAACUGCGAGUAUAGAGGUGAAAUUCGUAGAUAUUCGCAAGAACACCAGUGGCGAAGGCGGCUUACUGGUCCGGUUCUGACGCUGAGGCGCGAAAGCGUGGGGAGCAAACAGG
Molecule: ribosomal RNA, 253 nt
Filed under: uncultured bacterium
Lineage: Bacteria
Description: partial 16S ribosomal RNA
Rfam family: Bacterial small subunit ribosomal RNA
Source: RNAcentral